AGUGAACGCUGGCGGCAGGCCUAACACAUGCAAGUCGAACGGCAGCACCGUAAGUGCUUGCUCUACCGGGUUGCGAGUGGCGGACGGGUGAGGAAUGCAUCGUGCUCUGCUUUUUCGUGGGGGCUAGCGUAGCGAAACUUACGCUAAUACCGCAUACGACCUACGGGGGAAAGCAGGGAAGCUUCGGACCUUGCGCGAUUGAAUGAGCCGUUGCCGGAUGAGCGAGUGGGGGGGGUCAAGCUCCACCAAGGCGAGGAUCCGUAGCUGGUCUGAGAGGGUGAGCAGCCCCACGGGAAUGGAGACACGGUCCAGACUCCUACGGGAGGCAGCAGUGGGGAAUAUUGGACAAUGGGCGAAAGCCUGACACAGCCAUACCGCGUGGGUGAAGAAGGCCGUCGGGUUGUAAAGCCCUUUUGUUGGGAAAGAACAGCAGGAGGUUAAUACCCCGCUGUUCUGACGGUACCCAAAGAAGAAGCACCGGCUAACUUCGUG
RNAcentral lists this ribosomal RNA (492 nucleotides) under uncultured bacterium. Its description in RNAcentral is "partial 16S ribosomal RNA". It matches the Rfam family "Bacterial small subunit ribosomal RNA", at positions 29 to 507 of the family's 1533-position model. The record is from RNAcentral.